CCUACGGGGGGCUGCAGUCGAGAAUCAUUCACAAUGGGGGAAACCCUGAUGGUGCGACGCCGCGUGGGGGAAUGAAGGUCUUCGGAUUGUAAACCCCUGUCAUGUGGGAGCAAAUUAAAAAGAUAGUACCACAAGAGGAAGAGACGGCUAACUCUGUGCCAGCAGCCGCGGUAAUACAGAGGUCUCAAGCGUUGUUCGGAAUCACUGGGCGUAAAGCGUGCGUAGGCUGUUUCGUAAGUCGUGUGUGAAAGGCGCGGGCUCAACCCGCGGACGGCGCAUGAUACUGCGAGACUAGAGUAAGGGAGGGGGAACCGGAAUUCUCGGUGUAGCAGUGAAAUGCGUAGAUAUCGAGAGGAACACUCGUGGCGAAGGCGGGUUCCUGGACAUUAACUGACGCUGAGGCACGAAGGCCAGGGGAGCGAAAGGGAUUAGAUACCCUUGUAGUC
Molecule: ribosomal RNA, 446 nt
Filed under: uncultured bacterium
Lineage: Bacteria
Description: partial 16S ribosomal RNA
Rfam family: Bacterial small subunit ribosomal RNA
Source: RNAcentral